UGUCGCACCUUUUGUCUCGACACAAACAAGUCUAAGCAUGUUAUAAUCCGCUGCUAUGAUUUCACCGCCGCUUUCAUCCCCCAGAGUAAUUAAUUUACCGGCUUUCACAUGCUUAACUUCUUAUUAGGCUGCUCAUUACUGUGACAAAAGUCGACCUCCGGGCUAUGACAGCUUGUCCAUGGGGACCCCCAGACGCUCACAACGCACACCCGCCUCUCCCCCGUGCUCCCUCCAGGCAAACUCCACUGGUGCUCAGCGGGAGGCCGGUUACAUUCCCGCGCCCGAGCAACUGGAGGCAGCAUACAGAAGAAGACUUUUCAGUCUGUUCUGAUUGGCGUCUUCCUGUCAUGACACACGCACAGUCCGUUCCUCCCUCGUCUGCGGAAGCACUCAGCAGCUCCACUCUGAGUACGUCCAGACACGCCCCCACACGCGCUGCGCAGACCGCACCCACACGUGCUGUGCAGACCGCACCCACAUGCCGCCGCAGCUGGAGACAAUCAUCAAUCAAGACACCUGGCAGUGAUUACAGACGACAGGAUAAAGAGCCUCGCCGCUGAUUACUCCUCGUCGGAACGUUGCUUUGCUUGCAUCCCUGUCUCAGCUCCCGCUGUCAUAUUCCCCUGAAUCCUGUUUGCCCUCCUGAUUACCCGACACCUUGCCUGGACUUUGGACGCUCUCUCCUGUACUACGACCACGCUUGGACCCCCGGACCUCUUUGCCUUCUCCCUCUGGAUUUGGACGCCACCAUUCAACACGCAUGACAACACCCCUUACGGUAUCUUUAUAUAUUAAUUCCAGCACAUAGUUUACAUUCAAACACAUAGUAGCAUACACACCCUACGUAAUCAUAAAUCACUCAAUAAAUACAUUGAGUUUAUACUUCUGCUGUUGUGCCGUCUCCUUCCCCCUGUCUAAGACAUAACAGAACGUUCCGACCAAGAUGGAACCAGACGGCACAAAACAUCCCCCACCUGGAACUCUGGUCCGAACUUCCCCUCCUAGAGACCUAUCUGCCAUCGAGUCUGUCAUUCGACAACAUCAGGCCCGAUUUUCCACCUUGGAGGACAAACUUGAUGUCGCAUUUGCUAGUCUGCUGUCAAGAUUGGACAAACUCAGUACAGGUCAGGUGACACCUCCCACUCCCAUUUUUAGCUCUUCUGAGGCACCUGCCCCCGAAGGACCGUCUUCCCUUCGCGAACCAGAGAUAGCCAGUCCUAAGAUUUUUGAGGGGGAUUUCGAACUUUGUCGUGGCUUCUUGGUUCAAUGUGAAUUUAUUUUUGAACACCAACCAUCUCGUUAUGCUAACGAUGGGGCCAAGAUAGCCUUUAUGUUUUCCUUAUUUUCUGGACCUGCCCUUAAAUGGGCCACUUCCGCCCUUAGCAAGCCUUCGGGGUUUAACUGUAAUUAUUCUGCGUUUCGUAAAGAAUUUCUGGCUGUUUUUGAUCAUCCCACGGAUGGAAGAGAUGCUGCAGCUAAGCUUCAUUCCCUCAGACAGGGUCACCGCUCCGUGGCUAAAUACACCCUAGAAUUCCGCACUUUGGCAGCUGAGAGUGGUUGGGAUGACAGGGCUCUUUUGAGUGCCUA
Entelurus aequoreus (snake pipefish) is the source of this 1587-nucleotide long non-coding RNA. RefSeq lists it as uncharacterized. The transcript has 3 exons. The record is from RefSeq and is a predicted model, not a curated record. NCBI's taxonomy places the organism in Eukaryota, Metazoa, Chordata, Actinopteri, Syngnathiformes, Syngnathidae.